UGGCCAGCUAAUAAAUCUGCUUACCUAAAUAUGUUUCUGUGGAAAUUAAGAAAAAGCUGGCAGCCAGCCUCACGCCUGUAAUCAUAGCU
Molecule: small nucleolar RNA, 89 nt
Filed under: Castor canadensis (American beaver)
Lineage: Eukaryota; Metazoa; Chordata; Mammalia; Rodentia; Castoridae
Description: Small nucleolar RNA SNORA33 (ENSCCNG00000031643.1)
Source: RNAcentral